Pimephales promelas (fathead minnow) is the source of this 356-nucleotide non-coding RNA. The record is from RefSeq and is a predicted model, not a curated record. Lineage: Eukaryota; Metazoa; Chordata; Actinopteri; Cypriniformes; Leuciscidae.
UUUCAUCAUUUGAUAAUAACUUUAUAACACAUUUGUUUGUGGUAUAGAUGCAGUGACUGAGACUGGGAGAUACAGUGACUGAAACCUGGUGUGUUCCAGAAAAAGGUCCUGAAACUACUGGUCGACAUCCGCCAUCGCCUGAAGGAAACCAGAAGGGGUCAUGAAAUUCGGUUCCACAGCCACUGAGGUGUAUGUACAUCAAGGUGAACCUCAAGCACGCGUCGCAAAGACUUGGAUUCACUUCGCCCUGAUGAGCCAAGCCUACAGGACUUGAAUUAAGAGUUUUAAAGGGAUAGUUUACUUGAAAUUAUUUUUUUGAAAUGUUUUGGCUUACAUCAAGGGCAUCAGUCAUAUAA